RNAcentral lists this ribosomal RNA (430 nucleotides) under Pseudomonadota bacterium. RNAcentral's name for it is "Proteobacteria bacterium partial 16S ribosomal RNA". It matches the Rfam family "Bacterial small subunit ribosomal RNA", at positions 355 to 776 of the family's 1533-position model. Lineage: Bacteria; Pseudomonadati; Pseudomonadota. The record is from RNAcentral.
UGGGGAAUAUUGGGCAAUGGGGGGAACCCUGAUCCAGCCAUGCCGCGUGUGUGAAGAAGGCCUUAUGGUUGUAAAGCACUUUAAGCGAGGAGGAGGGUACUGGUAUUAAUACUACCAGGUACUGGACGUUACUCGCAGAAUAAGCACCGGCUAACUCUGUGCCAGCAGCCGCGGUAAUACAGAGGGUGCGAGCGUUAAUCGGAUUUACUGGGCGUAAAGCGUGCGUAGGCGGCUAAUUGAGUCGGAUGUGAAAUCCCCGAGCUUAACUUGGGAAUUGCAUUCGAUACUGGUUAGCUAGAGUGUGGGAGAGGAUGGUAGAAUUCCAGGUGUAGCGGUGAAAUGCGUAGAGAUCUGGAGGAAUACCGAUGGCGAAGGCAGCCAUCUGGCCUAACACUGACGCUGAGGUACGAAAGCAUGGGGAGCAAACAGG